Molecule: non-coding RNA, 678 nt
Filed under: Enterobius vermicularis (human pinworm)
Lineage: Eukaryota; Metazoa; Nematoda; Chromadorea; Rhabditida; Oxyuridae
Source: RNAcentral
UGGGGGAUUUUAUAGUAGUCUGCUGAAAGUUAGGGUGAUGUUAUUUAUGUUUUAUUCAUUUUCAUGGACAAUGGUGUUUGAUCCUGGAUUUAGUCAUUUGUAUUAUUUAUGUACCAGAAUAAUCGGAUAGACUUAAAAAAUUUGUACUUUAAUCGUGGUGAAUAAUAAUAGUUUAUUUAAUUAUUAGAAUCUGUUUUGUGGAAUAGUUAGAGGUUUUUGUUUUUUAUUAUUAUUUCAAUUGAAUUGAAUGAACUAGAUUAGUACCUAGGUAAUUUUUUUGUAUUAGUACAGAAGUAUAAUUAUAUUGAAACUGAAGCUAUUUUUGGGAGGCUUUGAAAUAAUUUUUGGAGGUUGACGAGUAAUUGAGAACCCUCAUUAUCGGCUGGUGUUUUAGUAAUAUGUAUGAUCGUCUUUUCUAUUAUUAAGUAAUUAGAAGUAAAGUUUUGUGGCUAUAAAGAUAGAUAUAUAUCUAUUAGAUACACUAGAUUUUAGUUGACCUACAUUAUUGAGAUUUGUGGAUUUCUAGAUGAGAGUUUGGAAUGAAAAUGGAAAGGAUAGUAAAUUAAUUUUUAUGGUUAAUUGAAGGAUAUCUCAAUGCGGCACAAAUCAUCCAUCAAUUGCUUAAAGAGUAGUAAGUUGUAGUAUAGUAAGGGUAGGGGAACCUGUUCUUAGUAAUUU